Molecule: unclassified non-coding RNA, 469 nt
Filed under: Geobacillus stearothermophilus
Lineage: Bacteria; Bacillati; Bacillota; Bacilli; Caryophanales; Anoxybacillaceae
Description: 16S-23S ribosomal RNA intergenic spacer
Source: RNAcentral
AAGGACGAAAAGCGGAAGCGCCGCGUUCGGCUCUCGAAGCCAAAUGUUCUUCACCCGGAGGGGUGCUGGCACCCCGAGGGGGAAGGUUAUUUGGCAGAAGAGAGCCAGGCGCUGGAGCUAGACAAUUCGAAAAGCGGAGGCCGCAAUGGCCAACUGUCGAUACGCAGCGCUUUCGUUUCGUUCGGUUUUGAGGGAAUGAGAAAUUCCUUCACUUGUUUUGCGCCUGCGUCUUCUAGCAGAUUCAAGGAAGAUGGAUUCCUCGACGCAAAGCUGCAAAGAAGCAGACUCAAGGCAGCAGCUUCGUUCCUUGAAAACUAGAUAACCGGAAAAGCGGAGGCGAGCGUUUCGCCGCGAUGGGCAAAUGUUCUUCGCCUGGAGGGGAUGUUCACAUCCCGAAGGCGAAGGUUAUUUGACCCCGAGCGGCGGCGAGCCGAAGCUAGACAGUAAGGAAGAAGCCGAGAGCGCUGUA